Molecule: ribosomal RNA, 268 nt
Filed under: uncultured bacterium
Lineage: Bacteria
Description: partial 16S ribosomal RNA
Rfam family: Bacterial small subunit ribosomal RNA
Source: RNAcentral
UGGGGAAUAUUGCACAAUGGGCGCAAGCCUGAUGCAGCCAUGCCGCGUGUGUGAAGAAGGCCUUCGGGUUGUAAGCACUUUCAGCGAGGAGGAAGGGUAGUGUGUUAAUAGCACAUUGCAUUGACGUUACUCGCAGAAGAAGCACCGGCUAACUCCGUGCCAGCAGCCGCGGUAAUACGGAGGGUGCAAGCGUUAAUCGGAGUUACUGGGCGUAAAGCGCACGCAGGCGGUUUGUUAAGUCAGAUGUGAAAUCCCCGCGCUUAACGUG